CUUUGAAAACCGCAUGUACUCUUUGAGAAUAGAAUGUGGCGAGAUGUAUCCAGACGAGCCUCCCUCCAUCUUCUUCGUCAACAGGAUCAAUUUGCAGGGUGUCAACCAACAGACUGGAGCUGUCGACCCUCGUCACAUAGGCGCUCUGAGCCAGUGGCAGCGUGUGUACACCAUCAAGACAGUUCUCCAGGAGCUAAGACGGCAAAUGACGCAGAAGGAGAACAUGAGACUUGCUCAGCCCCCUGAGGGUACCUCCUACUAGCGUUCCCAAAACAGACAGUCUCCCUCCACGUCCCAUUUGCGAUUCAAUGACCCCUCAAAUGUUCCUUUAAGUGCUUCUGCUCUUCGACAAAACCGUAGACACUUGCAGCGCUGCCCUAACGUCUCAGACUCGCAGGAGUCUCAGCUGGAGUCUAUUGGCAGUUCUGGUGGCAGUCCUGCGCACGGCAACCGCUUGGGUGCCCAGCAAGGGUCGCGAGAGAGCGCGGUGCUCAGCCGCGACGAGGAUGGCAAUUUACUAGACGUCGCACCCUCUCGCUCUUCUCGGUGCUUCAACUUGCCUGGCAUGUGCUGCUUUGCGGGAUCAUCCGUGCAUCCCAUUGACUAGCUGCUUAGUCCUCUUACCUAACCAAAUUAGAUCGUUGUCGAGGAUUGAAACAUCUCAAUGUUAAGUGACCAGCAUUAUUUAGACUGUGGGUUAGAUGAUUCUGAAAUUUAAGGUAUAAUUCUCAGGGCAAUGAAUGACAGCAUCGGGUAUCAUGUACCAUUUUCUAGAAAAUAAUGCAUAAAUAUAGGCUAUUAUAGGUAGAAAAAUGCUUCAUAUUACUUAGGAUGAUAGUAAUGACCCUGUCCAAGACUGUCUGUUGAAGUUUUCCCGUUCUCUCCAGUAACUGGUGUAUGGUUGAAGCUGUGGCCGGGAGCUAUACGUCAUUAACUAUUCUCUCGUUCAUGUAUGUUAUGCAUUUUGCAAGUCAAGGGCGCCACGCUACUGUUUUCUUACAGCAGCAACACUAAAGUUACUUGUAAAUGAAACAACUCGUUCAAUUUUUAUUCUAUGAUUUAACUCAUUCGGUGGAUAGAUUUCAUUUUGCAUGCGUAAUUCUUCAUAUGAAUCGGAGGGCAUAUAUGAUGUUUGAGUUCAUAUUAACAUUUUGAUCAUCACGAUUUGAGGCUGUGGUCAACAUAAUAUUGUGACAAAUUCUACCUUUUGUGCGUUCAGAACAUGAUAAUAGAUUAAAACAUUUAAUUUCAAGUUGAUUUUAACCCAUUUUCUAAUCUGUAGACCAUAGUUACAUAGUCAUGUGUAAAAUGAAAAUCAGCUAACUUUGCUCCACUUAAUCUUAAUCCCCACAAAUGCCUGUACUAGUGAAAUUUUCCUAAGAGCUCCUAUCUCCUCCAGUUUUUCAACUUGUUAAGUGUUCUUCAAACUGGUGGUUGUUACCUAACACUUGAUAUAAGUUUUCUCGUGAGUCAAUCUUAUACGUUUGCUUCCCGCAUUCCCCCUAAACACUGCACCUUAUUUGUGAUCAUCAUCUCACACUCUUCUAUAUAACUGAAUGUAGUCGCGGAUUAUCUUAUAUGAUGUCAUUAGUGUUGUUUUCAUCAUAUGAUUCACUCGGUGUGCCGAGCGGCAUAUAGGGUAUGCCUACUUGUGCUUUAAUUGUCAUUCUUUACAAUGGUUUAUUAAUUUUGGUUCAAUUUCUUGAGUGUGAUAUUUCUGUAGUCACGUAAAUAUUUCUCUUCACAAUCUAUCCGUCGCCGUGAUGAAUUUUUGUUUUUACCAUCUAUUAAUGACCAAAUUCAUGGAUGGUUUUCUCAAAAAUAUUCCCUCCGUCAUUCUCCUUCCUAGAUUGAUAUCAAGUGAAUUUCUGCUUCUGCUCUGUGAUUGGAUACCAACCAAACAAAACAUGAACAUUUUCAACACUUUGCACGACAUUAAAUUCUUUUAAUACCAGAAAAUUGUGAGGCUCAAAUCAAUGUCAUUCGUCACGCAAUUCUUUAUUUACAAAUUAUAUAAAGUUUUUUUUUUUACUGACAUCUCCAAAAAUUUCACUGACAAAAAUUUUUGGCUGAGAAGAAUGAAUUAAUGCAACCCGGUGUAUGUAUUAUUAUUUGUUUGAUGUCUCAAUGCGCGCGGUUUUUUUUCCUCUUGAUGUGUUAUUUUUUUUCUUCUUCAUCUUGUAUCUAAAAGCAAACUUUUAUAUUUUCUGCAGUUCGGCUUGAAGGAUUUGGAGGCAUCCCCUGCAUGUUGCUCUCAACUUUUUCCUCUUAAGCGUCCGGCUAGCUGCCCUUGACGUCUAUAGUAGCGUCUUACAAUCGUCAGCUGCUGGGUGAAAAUUUCCUUGGCUUCUGGUUACUUCAAAUGCUAAGGCAUGAUUUCAUUGCAUUGAAGACAUUUUGUCUUCGAGCUUGAGUUCAACUAUGCGCCGCUUGCGGGGGUCUCCUGAAAAAGGGAGACCGGGGAACCCCAACAACAUCAAAACUUUGCCGCUUGUAGAAAAGUUGCUCUAAAGCACAUCGAAAGCUCUUGUCGGAAACACGUGUUUCUGUAUUGGGUCUGCUACAAUAUGUUUAGCUUGUAUUUUGAACUUUGAAGAUAACUGGGGUUUGUUUAUACGAUCUUUCACUCGCUGAUCGUUUCUAAAUCCAGCCAUUACUUAUUAUUCAUCCGUAUUUCUAUCGUGCAUUUGUAGAUCACAAUCUGGGAAUAUUCAGUCGAUUUUUCGGAAUGUUUGAGUGUCUUGCGUUGUCUUUUUUUCUUUUUGGUUUAAUAAAGCGUCAACGGAACGUUAGACCUAAAUCCUUUGCAUGAAUUUUAAUUUCAACAUCUGCAUUAUGCUCAGUCCGAGUUUAAUUUGUAAUUCUCAUAUUAAACUGAGUUACAAAUUAUACAAAUUUCUUGGCUUCUAUAAUAUCCUGCUCACCACAAUUAUUUUUCAGUUACUCAUAAGAACAGUGAGUCAAGCCAAUAUAUAUUAGUGAUCAGAUUUUAUUUGAAUUCUUAUUUUGUGGGGCAGUUAAAAUUUCCGCUGGUGUUUGCGCGUUGCGGGCUUCGAAACAAGACUCGUUCUUCAGUGCACUUGUACUGUUCUCUCAAAUAGUUCACAAAAUAACCCUCGUCUUGUCAUUACUCACCUUCAUGACUUUUUCUGGUGUCCUUCCAGAGCCUGAUUUUCCUCUCAACAGGUAUACUUCGUAAUGGUCAUCUGAUCAUUAAACUUUCUCAGUAAGACUUCCCUCUGUGUUCCGGAUUUUUGUGUCGCUUUAUUGCCUCGUAUACUUGCUAUUAAAUUAUGCCGUGAAUCGAUCGGCUAUCAAUAUUUAAAGCUAAAUUUACCAAAACUUGAUUCGGUCUCAAGGCAUAUUGUCGUCUGAUUUAUUUUGAUAGCAGCAUCAACAAUCAAGUUAACCCUUGUUGAUUGCAUUGGUACAAUUUUACCUCAACUCAAUACGAUACGAACGUAAACUUGUGCAGUAUGAAAUGCUUGAAUUACGAGCCCGUACAAAAGUUGCAGCAUCGAUGAUUAGAUGAUAGCUUCUUGUCACCAAAAAGCAUCUCGUGGUUAGUAUUGCUUGUUUUUUUUUCCUUCAACGUUGAUUUAGUGCAUGGCUCAAGACACGUAUGAGUUAGCUACAGAUCGUUAACCGAGUCAACGUCUGUCAUGGAGGUGAUUAACUAUACGUUGCAGAGCCUUUUUACAUGGCAGACCAUGGAAACUCUAUGCUGUCCUGCCCUGUUUAGUUCGGUCGGUCAUGAUACCCUUCAUAUUCGUCGUCAUCGACUGUGUGGACGAGCGGAUGUGUUCACGAUUGAAGUUCAAGGGUUAGUAGCCUUUGACUUGUCAGUUCCCGGCUUAGUUUUAGAGCAUUGUUAACGUGGAACCUCGCACUAACUUUGUCAGCUCUCAUAACUUCUAGGCAAUAUUUCAAAUGAAUAUAUGAAGACGAGCAGAAA
This is a long non-coding RNA of Hyalella azteca, 3955 nucleotides long. RefSeq lists it as uncharacterized. Lineage: Eukaryota; Metazoa; Arthropoda; Malacostraca; Amphipoda; Hyalellidae. The record is from RefSeq and is a predicted model, not a curated record. The transcript is spliced from 2 exons.